UUUCCUUGGAGAUCGUCUUACCUGGGAGUUUCUAGUGAGCACUGAUCCUUGGAAAGGGGGCAGAAGAGGAAGAUGUAGGGGCCUAGGACAACUUUAUGCCUACUUACCCAUUACUAUAUUCACACUGAGGACUGUGGUACUUCUGAGGCAACUGAAGGAUACAGGACAAAUGUCCAAAGCUGCUCUAUGUAGAGUUCCCAGGAACUUAAUGUUACCCUUGGCUGCAGCACUUAAGUGUCAGGGGUGAACUGGCCCCCAAAAUUGCACGACGACAAAUUCAUCAGCUCUGAAUCUGCAUGAGGACAAGACCUUUAUCCUCAAGUUGAACUGUAAGAAUGCCCUUAGGUGAUAUGCUGCAGAUGGUACAGCUGAAAAGAGAAAUGGAUCUGGUUUAGGAGAGAUACCUUCCUUUAAGAUGAUUUUAAAUGUUUGCAUUUUUUAUGCAGCAUUUUAGAGUGUUUCAGCAUCUCCCAUCUGGAAUUCAAUUCCUCUCCCUGUUAAUCAAUAACAGGUCUUAACAAAACAAUAUCUCACAGUAGACACAAGCAUACAGUGCUGAACAAAGCAAAACAGCCAUUGGCUUAGAGCAACAAUUGCUGCUACACAAUGUGUUUUCAAAGCUCAGUAUAUAUUUUGUCCCUAGUGGGAAAACCAUAACAAGACUGAAUUAGUGGCUGGGCUUGCCAAAGGGAGAAAUUAAAGUGCGACUGUUUGUCUGACACCUUGAAGUACCAUUAUUUAUUUCAAGGGAGAAGAUAGUGUAAGGAAAUAAGACGCCCAUUAGGGAAAACUAUUAGCUGUUACUUUCCAGAGUGUGCAGUGGUUUUGCAUGCCUGCUGUAGAACCUAUUCAGUCUAGUUGGAGUACAGCAGUACUUUCUGGUGGAAGGGCUCCUUGGCAGUUCUGGCACCCACAGGAAUGAUGCCUGUGAGGCUGAGAGCUGCAGGGGUGGGGAGGAGCCCAGUGUUUCAGGGGAGGACAGGCUGGCAGGUUUGUCCCCAGUGGGGCGGCUUGGGGCUAGUGUGCACAGGGCUGUUCAGUGAGGGAAAGAGAAAAGGGAGAGAAUAUGUGAGAGUAAAGCAAAUUCCCUUCCCUGCGCACGGUUACCUCUGAGCUUGCAAACUUAACUGCUCAUCUGUGGAUCUUGACAGCUCCUUGCUCUGGCACUAAUGGGCUUCAGAAACUCCCAGUGAGCUGUAAUCGCCUUGGUUCAGGGCUCAGCCUGCACCUUUACAAGCACCUUCACCCCUCGCUGUUAACCUGUGGUCUCCCUUACUUGGCAGCUAAGCUUGUAAAUUCAUGUAACCAAAUAGCUGUGCUGUUAACUGCCUGCACCAAAGUGAACAACACAUCCAUCUUCCAGUGCCCAGCCGGCAGCCUAAUGACAUGUCGCACUGUGCGGUGGUACCUUUUCAGACGUAACUAACUCUGGCACUGCAGAAGCAAUUGUUUCGGCAUUUGCACACACCAUGCAGCUCAUCUGGGCAGAGGAGGGAAGCUGCCUGGGCAGGAGGCCUCCCAUCACUGGCCCUAUGCACUGGGUCCCCGAUGCAACCUCCCCAUGCCACAGCCCAGUGGCUGUGACGGAGACCUUAGCCUGGUUGGUCAACUACACCUGGGGCAGGAGCACACCUGCAACAGGUACAUCUGGGGCUGUGUCUGAUCUUUGACAAGUCUCUUUGAAAAGCUGUGCCUUGGUUUCCUUGUCCACAAAAUAAGCAUAAUUUCCUGAAGUGAAGAGCCACUGGGAGGACAGGUGCUAAUGAAACAUGAAAAAGUGCUAAGGUUUUCUGACUUCUGUAGUUCCUGCCAGUGUCUGUGGUUUAAACCCUUUAGUCUUCAAAUUGGCCUCAGCAAGAAGAAGGUUGACUGAGUGAGGACACAAGGUUCAGGCAAUUGCUAUGUGUGGGUAGCUGUGCCAGGCCGUUCCAAGCUGUCCCCAUGAGGACAGCAAAUCCAUGAGCUCUGAGGAAAUCUCCUGUGAGAGCUGUUCCUCCUGCUUCCAGUGAGGAGGAAGCUGGGCUGCAAGUUCAUUCUUUGCUAGAAAUCCCACACAGAGCUCAGCUGAGUACUUCGAUCAUGGGAACAAGGCUUUACUGCUUCUGCUGUUGCUGGUGUUACCACUUGUUACCAAAGGGGAGAAAGCUCAUCCUUCUGCCUGCAAGUAACUUAGACUUGACAUUGGCAGAGAUGUGGUAUGUGUUCUCCUCCUAGCCCCUAAAGCAACCACAAGCAGUCAAAGUUAAGGAGCAUGUGAGUUAGCAGGGGUUGGAUGAACAGUGCUUUUCUUUAUCUGCUAGUUGCUUACCUGGUGAAAUAGGCAGUCCGAGAAAAUUUCUUAAUUAACAAGGCUCUGUCCUAUGCAGCAUAUGUAUGCAGAUAAUUGAUAUUACAAAAGCAUAGUUUGGCUCAGGACAUUCCCCAGAAUAUUUGUACUGUUAAGGAAAUAUCUUGAAGAAAGGGAAAGAAGGAGCCUAGGCCCUGGCCUCCAGUCAGAGAAGACUGUUAUUUUUCUGUUAAACAUCAUAUCCAACCUCAGAGAAGAGUGGGCGGAGGGUUAAUGAGUUGUCUUUGAAAAUAAUUUUGAGCAAUGCAUAGCAAGAUCUCAGGGAAACAAUGUUUACAGUCUAUAUCCUGCCUCAGAUUCCAUAAACACUGCUCUGGUGCCCCAUUGCCAAAUUUAGCUUUAGUCACCAGGAUGCAGCUGGUGUCCUUUGUAGUCAGGCAUCACUCAGUAGCUUUAAUACAGAUGGACAGAGAGAGUUUUUCCUGGUUAUUGAGCAUCACCUACUCUUACUACUGGUGUGCAUUUGCCUCUGCAGAGGCAGCAAGAAACUUCUUAUGCAUUGAGCCUAAUCUAGCGUCCUUAAUGAUGCACCGUCCCUGCUGAUGUGAGCAGUGGGCUUGUUUCACAGUGCAGAGGAGAAAUGUGUCCUUCAUGAAGCAGACUGUCCUCUGUCCUCCUGAAGGAAGGUGAGGAAUCUACUGCUCUGCCAGUAGUCUGCCUGGGUGUCACAAAAGGUGUAUGGGCAAUUAUAUACAAUCUUAGGAAUUUUGCCAAGUAAUAUUAAGUCCAGAGUGUUUGUUGUUUAACCUUCCCAUCCAUAAGGUACAGGUUACCUUGAACUUUUAGUUCUGUCUAGGUUAACUCACCCCUUCCCUUAGUCCUUUGGCAGAUGGGUAGCCUCUUCUCCCUCCAGUCUUCACUUAGAAGUAUUUGAAAAUUGGGUCAGAAAUUAAUUUGUGCCCCAAAGAAACUUUGGAGGAGAAACAGAUCUUUAAGUAGUUCAGUUGCCACAGUAUAUUUGAAAGAGUUGUUGCCAGGGCUUUUUGUAAUUGUUUAAAAUAUUAAAUAAUGCAAGCUAACAAAGACCAGGCAAAAUACAUAAUUUAUGGAGGGCAUCCCUCUGCUCUUGCAGGUUUUUACUCUGACAGGCCAGGACCAUUCUGCAUUCCCUGUGACGGAGACUUGCAUCCUGCCUAUGUGACUGUCCUAUUCCUUCUUUCUCCAGGGGGAGGGAGGGGAGGAAAUGAAUAAUUUCUGCUUUCCUUCUGUUCCUUCAUCUCUGGCGACUUCUGCACCAGGAAAGAGGAGAUGAACAAUGUCAGAGCUCUACUCAUUCUUUACUGCUUUUCCUUUUUUUUUUUUUUUUUUUUUCCCCUCAUCACCCAAAGAUGGAUGAGGGAAAUGACUGAAAGCACUCGAUAUCCACUCAUCGUUUCAAUCCAGCUCUUUAACAGCUUUCACUAUCCAGUGGCAUGAUGGUCUUUGGUUUGUUAUUUACUGGCUGUUUAAUUUAAAUGUAUCCCCAUCAGGGAGCCGAAAGAUCCAGCCUUAAAGCUCUUUCACAUGAUUUCUCUAAUCACUUUCUAAAUUAUUUAUCAUGACUCUGAACUGUCUGGAGACUCUUAUUUUUUCUUUUUUUUUCUUUUAAGCACUGAUUUGUUCCCAAACAUCUGUAAAAAAUCAUGACUGACCUCCCAUCUGGGCAGCAGCUCAGCUCCGUCCGGGGGCUGGGUCGUGUCAAGUGUGCGAGCUCUGUUUCAAAAGCAUAAAAUUCCUGACACGGUGAAAUUCUUUUCUUACAUAUUUGUUGACAAAAGGCGGACAGGGAAGGGAAGGGAAGGCUGCUGUUAGGAAUGCACGAGCACGAUGCUGCAUAGCUAGGCCAGAAGCGAGUGGAACACUUUGUUACGGAAACGGCCACAAAAAUGCUCCUCCCUGCCUUAGAAAAUGGUUAUUUAAAGCAGAGUUGCUUGCCAGUCCUCCUUGCCACUGUUGUCUUUUGGACGUGGCAUGUGUAAAUAAUAUUUCCGCAUGAAAGAAAACUUUCAGUGAUGACAGUGCUCCUGUGGCCGCUUCCUGUCCCAGAGGGGAGGCACCGGCCCUUCCCUGGAAAUGACGACUCCCUCCAGAGAGAAAGCCCAGGAACUGAGAGGUUUCUUUUCCUCCAAAGCCUCAGAUGAGAGACUUUUGACCUUUAGAAGCAAUGAAAGUGGAAAAAUGGGGCACAGUUUUCAUGGACGUUUCUAAAGGCGUGUACUAGAAAAGUACCUGCGUAAAAGUAAACAUACAGUGAGAAAGUGAAAAAAAAAAAAAGUACAUGAUUUAAAGCAAAGCCCACAUUCCUCUAGGAUUUUUAUAAUCAAAAGUGGCAAUGUGUGCUUUAAAGCUGUUUUUCAAAACAGAUUGCUUUACUUUCACCAGUGUCAGUGAGCAGAAAUCCUUUUAUUUCUGGCUAAUGACAGCUCCUGGCUGUGCAGAAUCUGGGGACACACCUUCAAGAGGCUGCAGUUACCAAGCACACAGAGAAGGCGACAUCCUCCCAUGUGUCUUGUUAACUGUAUUCUGCUUGCAUUUUUCCCUUUUCUUCCCCUUCAUCUUCACGUUUUUUAUGGAGAUUAACCCAUGCCAGACUUAAAGACCCUUAAAUUUUAGGGAAGUUCAGGUACACAUCUGGAUCCCAGCUCUGCAGCUCCAGCUCAUUGCUGUUUGUUAUUGUUAGUGUUGCUUCAGGCCCAGCUCAGGGAUUGUACAAAGUGUUCUUUCAAAAAAAAAAAAAAAAAAAAAAAAGUGUUCUCCUAGCAUCUGAGAAGCACACUCCUUCUGCAAGGUGUUAUAGCCUGAUCACUACAGAAACAUAGGGAAGGAACUUUGGGGGUGCAUAGGGCACUGGGGCUUCAGAAAACAAAGUUUUGAUGGUCUUAGGGGCUUAGAGUCUCUUGCUUGUUUGCUCCUCUACCAGGUGAAGGGAGAGCGCUGGGCCUUCAAGGAGGACCCAGGUGCCCUAAUUUAGGGAACUUAAAGACCUUGCUAUGCACAGAGACUGGGGUGACAUUUAGGCCAUCAGAGCUUAGCUGUUGGAGGCAGGGAGCACCUCUGCUUCUGACUAAUAGGUCCUAGCAGAGAAGGAGGCGUUGAGCAACCUUAGUCCCUGAAGGCUGCAGAGGCACGGCAGAGCUGCUGGGUAUGCCAGAGGUAUGGUUCAUCCUCUUGUCUCUCCUGUAUUUAUCCCUCUGGCUCUGACAACCUAAACUCCUCACUUUAUUUUUCUUGGGAUUUUCUUUGGAUGAACCCUAUUAAAUGCAAUGCUAGCGUUGAAAUUUGCCUACGCCAAUAAGGCCAUCUGUUUUAUUAACUGAAGAAGGUCUCUGGAGUAUUUCUUGCAGGCUUGCAGCCCUUUCUGCCGCCCCCAGCACUUUACAUCAGCCCUGCGAACAAUGGGAGGGGACCCAGGAGGUCGCUGGCAGGAAGCACCUCUUCCCGUGCAUAAUGAACUGGCUGGGAGACUGAGGGAUGGAGAUAGCACACGAGACACACAGCACAAACUGCUGAAACAAUAAACAAACAAACGGAUGGCCAGCACUUCCUCUUCUUAUAUUGUUAACUUUGCUUCCUAAACCCACCCCUCAAAAGCCAGCCUUCUAGGCUUGCUGAUGCUUAACCUCUUUGUUGCCAGAGAUGGCUGAAGGCCCCAGCCAUUGCUUGCCAAUGUGAUAACAGCUGCAAGAGCCUUCUGAAAAAUAUAACAGCACUUUUACAAAAAAAUUGAAUGUAGGAAGAAAUAAUGUGACCAUAAGGCUCUAUGGGUGUAGUGCCUUGGUACCAGGACCGUGCCCCAGGUGGGUACAGACAUUCAGACUCUUUGGGCAGGAUGUCAUUUCACCAUUUCUUAUCUGUUAGCAGGAGAAUUAUGACAGCAGAAACUGAGUGGUGGCAAAGCUAUCUCCAUCCAUGUAGACUCUGAAGAAAAAUGCCUGCUUGAAAAGCAGUUGGGGAUGGUCUUUGGUUCGGUGCAUGCAAGUAUUUCAUCCCAUGGCAGCUGGAGUUCAUGGCCCACAGGAGCUCUGGGUGCAGCAGCGAGGUAGUGGCCCUGCACCUGCCACAGCCUGGCACCGGUUGGUCAGGGGAUCCUACUCCAUGUCACCCUUCAUAGAAUGCUGCCAGGAAGCGGUAAAAGACUAUUUGGGAGAACCAGGCUGGUGCUUCUGGAGCUGAGAAGCCACUUUUCAGAAGGCGUGCUGAUACUUCUCCCCAUCAGCCCCUAAGGUCCAGAGCUAGUUGAGGGGUGGCCUGGAGGCGUCAUGACCCUCCCUGGGACUCUCCCAGCAGCAGGGCAAGGGCUGUCACAGGACAGGCCCUACCUUCUGCUGAGUGCUCCCAGCUGACAGCUGAUUUGUUAUUACUUUAAAUACCCACUGUUUGUGUUAAGCACAGCAAGAAGUCUAGUAAACCGAAAUGGUGACAUUUAAAAAUGAACUAUCUCAAAUAGAUGUUUAGUCCUUCAAAUAGGGAAGCUAUCUGCUAAAUACCAAGUUUAACAGUUAUGUAAUAAGUCCAUAUCAAAACACAGAUAAUGACUGGUUGGCUAUGGUUUAGCAGUUGUUAUUUAAUUAACCUAUAAAGGCUUUCCUACUUAAUCAAAAUUUUAUUUCUGUCCCAAAGACUAUUUAGGGUGUAGUUCUGGAAGUGUUAUCAGUGUUGCUUUAAGUACUGAGGCACUGGUGCAAAGAAAUUACCCAAGGCUACAAGUGCAUGGCUGUGGGCAUGGGAGUGCCACUCCAGACACAUCAAGCCAAGUCACGGGCUGCUGGAGGUAAAGGGACCUCUGGAGGCCACUUGGUCCACUCCCUGCUCAGGCCAGCCAGAACAGGUUGUCCAGGACCGUAUCCAGGUCAGGGCCUCCGUUCUCUUUUCAGUCAUGGCUUACUCUAGAGGAGCUACACCAGCUGUCCUCCUUCCUGUCACCUUCCCUGAAGUCCUCCCUGGUAACUCAUCCUCCAACUUUAGUUACAAAAUGUGCAGCCUCAGGUAAGGAGCAACUGUCCCAGGCAGUGCAUGCCUUAGGCCAGCUCCAGCACUCUUGCUGUCCAUCCCUGAGCCCCAAAGCACAGCCCAGCUUUGGCAUAUUGAUCGUCAGUCAGUUUUUUAAAAGAAUGAACCUCAAAGGCAACAAUACCUUGGCUCAGGCUCUGAGCCCCCAAGAGGGAAGAGAGCUGGGUGGCAGCACAGGAGAUGGCAGGUCCUGUGGCUCUUCCUGGCUGUGCUCCCCUGUGUGGGUUUGGAUGAGUGGAUGAGAGCAGGUCCUUGGAGCACAGCUUGCUUGGCCCUUUGUGGGGAGAUCAGCCUCCUCCCAUAGAGAAAUGGCAGAUUCUCAUGCCUGGUGUGUUUUGACACAUUUUGAGGCCCAGUGGUCUUAAAGCUUUUUCUUUUCUACAGCUAAUAUCACCCCACAUCACAGUAUGUGUCUUCACAGUGUGAGUCAAGUGAAAAUAAGAUGGAUUUGCACAUCCAGCCUUCAGCAAGAAGGAAGAAAUGUGGAGUGAAUUCUUCCUGAGCACAAGUGCUUGGAUUUCAAGGGACUUCCAACCAACCUCCAGUCUCACUUGUGAUGCAGCUCUUCAGCAGUCUGCAAAGAGAUGAUGUGUUCAACCCACUGCUGAAGCCCAAGAAGGAAGAGUAGUGCUGUGGCAACAGCUUCAAAAGGUGCUGCCAAAGUUCCCGUUAAAGCCAGCUAUAGUUUUGCCUGAAUAAGGACCGGAGGACCUAGCCAGAUCUUGUAGGAUAAAAGAAGGGAAGAGUGGAAGAGGCAUCAGUUCAGAACAAUGAGAAGCAGUUCCUGUUGCCCGCCAGCUGCUGCAAGGGAGGUUGUUCCAUGAUUAGUGACCUUCAAAGGCAGUACUUCAGCUCGUUUCUUCAGCCUAGUCUGCUGUUAGAGGAAGACCGUCUUCUCAAUGACCUGACCUCGUCAUGUGUAGGGGAUCACUCACCUCUUAACUGUGAUUGCUCCAAGGCUGCAGGAAAAUUACAUUUUUUGAGAACUUCAUCCCAAAGGCCUGAGCAAUGUUGAGGCACAGAUCUCAGCUAUAUCAUGUUCCCAACACUCUCUCUUUGGAAGCCCGAAGAAAGAAAUGUGCUUGCAGCAUGACGGACAGAAAAACUGGUUCAGGCAAGUCAGAAGCUGUGGAAGAAAUGGAAAGAGAGAAUUGGAGCCAGAAAGUCUCAAAGAGGACAUUUUUUGCUGAUUUUUUUUGGAUGACUGCAUCAGUUUUGAGCACCUCGGAAAAAGCAAUUUGUUUUUCACUCCUGGCAUAUCGUGUUUGUUCAAAUAGAGCCAUUAAAAGUGUGGGCAUAAUAGUUCGUGAGGCAGCUUGUGACCCAUACCACUUUCUCUUGCCUUCUUCACCCUAGUUAAACUUUAGAAGCUUCCCACAUUAUUCUCAAGUGCUUCUUGCAGGGCAACAGUUGGUUUUCAUUGAACUUGGAAUGGAAAACGUGGACAAGUUCUGCAAACUCUUUUGAGAACAGAGAAAUGGGAAAAUGAAGAACAAUAUUUCUCUCUGUAUCAAGAACAGCUGUCACACUAUGCCAAGCACACUAAUGAAAAAAUUAGUAAUAAACAGUUAGCAGUGUAUCUUCAAGAGAAGUGUAACCAACUUACGUGUAGAAAAUAAAGAACUACAAACUAAUGAAGAAAAAUAUAUAGUGUUACAUCCAAACCAGUCAAGCUGUGCAGGGAAAGAAAGGCUAUCCAUUUCUGUCCUGUAAGCCAUGGCACUUUCAUUUGUAAAUUUUCCCUGCUUUUCUCUAUUUUUUAAAAUUGUCUCAUCUAGGCAGCUGGGUCUCUUUUAAGUGAUAGAAACUACCUAAAUGUCAAGAACAUGCUUCAGAAUAAGGAGAUUUAUGCUUAUGACUGUCUCUUUUCCAUAUCUAGU
Molecule: long non-coding RNA, 9216 nt
Filed under: Gallus gallus (chicken)
Lineage: Eukaryota; Metazoa; Chordata; Aves; Galliformes; Phasianidae
Description: lncRNA (ENSGALG00010006950.1)
Source: RNAcentral